This 493-nucleotide long non-coding RNA is filed under the name Ricinus communis (castor bean). RNAcentral's name for it is "long non-coding RNA (RCOM_LNC001078)". The record is from RNAcentral. Lineage: Eukaryota; Viridiplantae; Streptophyta; Magnoliopsida; Malpighiales; Euphorbiaceae.
GGAAGCAUUCACAUGAAAUAUUAAGAAGCAUUCCGCUUACAGUAUUUUCUCUCAAUAAAUUAAAUGCAUCUUUGUCACGCCAAACUCUACUACGUUUCCCAGGGUCCUCAGGUGAUUCUUGACGAACUAUUUCUCUUCCCAUGUCUCUAAGUAAUUGAUGGAUUAUCAAUUUGUUGCCUUCAUUAAUUGUUAAAAGACACCUACCAAUAAGAUUGUUAAUUCCAACAACUGCAUAGAAUUUACAGCCUUGUAGUAUACUAAUUACAUAAUUUUUUUCCAUUCCAGUGAAGAAACAAGCUAUGUCAAGGAACAGAUUUUUAUCAUGAUCAUCUUCUAGAGAGUCAUAGCUUACUCUAAGAAUCUUUUGAAUUUUACUGUCAGGAACCGCUUCCAACUUUUGCAAAGCACUUUCCCACACUUCUAUGCUUUUGCCUGAAAGAGAAGAGCCCAGAACUUGAAGAGCUAACGGAAGGCCACUACAAAGAUCCACAGC